CUAUACAGGCGAGGAGUGUUGGUCCAAAUCCCGUCACUCUAAGCGUCUCUGUCGGGAAGGUCCAGUCCACCUGGUGGAAGGCCUUCUCCGCAUCAGUGGAAAGCAGAAGCAUGUGCUCUCCCGUAGUUCUGGCAAGGUGUUGUAUGGAGAGUACUCUAAGUGCGCUGUCUCUCGCAUCUCGGCCCGGGAUAAAUCCCGUUUGAUCUGAGUGUAUUAGCAUUGAGAGUAAUGUGUUCAGUCGGCUCGCUAGUACCUUGGUGAACAGUUUGAUGUCCACGUUUAGGAGGAAAAUUGGCCUGUAGCUGCUACACAGCUCUUGGU
Molecule: non-coding RNA, 321 nt
Organism: Pelobates cultripes (western spadefoot toad)
Lineage: Eukaryota; Metazoa; Chordata; Amphibia; Anura; Pelobatidae
Source: the annotation of a GenBank genome assembly